Molecule: transfer RNA, 87 nt
Filed under: Burkholderiales bacterium
Lineage: Bacteria; Pseudomonadati; Pseudomonadota; Betaproteobacteria; Burkholderiales
Also listed under: 4 other names
Description: tRNA-Leu
Rfam family: tRNA
About the family: Transfer RNA (tRNA) molecules are approximately 80 nucleotides in length. Their secondary structure includes four short double-helical elements and three loops (D, anti-codon, and T loops). Further hydrogen bonds mediate the characteristic L-shaped molecular structure. tRNAs have two regions of fundamental functional importance: the anti-codon, which is responsible for specific mRNA codon recognition, and the 3' end, to which the tRNAs corresponding amino acid is attached (by aminoacyl-tRNA synthetases). tRNAs cope with the degeneracy of the genetic code in two manners: having more than one tRNA (with a specific anti-codon) for a particular amino acid; and 'wobble' base-pairing, i.e. permitting non-standard base-pairing at the 3rd anti-codon position.
Source: RNAcentral
GCCGGGGUGGCGGAAUUGGUAGACGCAGCGGAUUCAAAAUCCGCCGCUAGUGAUAGUGUGCGGGUUCGAGUCCCGCCCUCGGCACCA